CAGAGUAGAGGUUUGUGCGUUGCCUAAGGCUAAGUGCUUGACAGACGGGGAGUUGCUGCUGAGACGAAUGGAUUUUCUUUCCUGCGGUUCAAACCUUGCAUCCCGCUG
Molecule: non-coding RNA, 108 nt
Filed under: bovine gut metagenome
Description: THF riboswitch
Rfam family: THF (Tetrahydrofolate) riboswitch aptamer
About the family: THF riboswitch presents a pseudoknot that joins P1-P2 and the loop of P3 and two THF binding.
Source: RNAcentral